GAAAAUUCGAAGUAUUACCGAAUUGAAUUUCAAAAUUGAAAAGAGGUGUUUUGGGACACUCAUGAAAAAGUCGCCAUUUUUGUGUACUUCAGCUGUUCAACUAUAUUGUCUGUAACAAUAUUGUUUUCCUUGAAUGAGAUCACUCCACCUGCUCACAUACAAUUUGCAUUGACUUACCCAACUGAUCGUUUAGAACAGCACAAUAUGGUGAAAACUGAAAGGUUUUAUAAUCAAGUACUGUAAUAUUUUUUAUAUAUAAUGGAUGGUGCAGCAGGUGACAGUAAUGAUAAUGGUCUCAGUGACUCUUUCCUAUCUGGGCAAUACAUGGUUGAAGGUGAUGGUGAUGAAGGUUUAGCUUCUGGUGAGAAUGAUGAAGAACACAGAUUGGAAAAUAACGAACCGCUUAGAGAGCAAGACAGGUUUUUACCAAUAGCAAAUGUUUCAAGAAUUAUGAAAAAUUCUAUACCAAAAUCAGGAAAGAUUGCCAAAGAUGCCAAAGAAUGUGUUCAGGAGUGUGUCUCAGAGUUUAUUAGCUUUAUAACAAGCGAAGCAAGUGAAAGAUGUCAUCAAGAAAAAAGAAAGACAAUAAAUGGUGAAGACAUUCUGUUUGCCAUGUCUACGCUGGGUUUUGAUAGCUAUGUAGAACCACUGAAAUUGUAUCUUCAAAAAUACAGAGAGGCUAACAAGGGAGAUAAAUCUGUCAGUGGCCACGGAGCUGGAGGUGAUGUACAGUUGGAUGAAAUUGCAGAGGAGCCAUUUGGAGGCCAGACAUUAACAAACAACAUUUUAACAGAUCCGUCAGGUGGUCAACAAAAUGUUAUAUAUACAGCAGCUUAUCCACAAAUUAAUCAAAUAAAUCAGAUAAGUUUUGUGGAAUAGUGUCAGUUUAUGAAUAAAAAGAGAAAGAGAGAUCUGAAUUUACUGCUAUGUGACAACAGGAAAGAGAAAUUUCUGAAGUGUGGUGAUAUAUAUAUAUAUAUACAUGAUUUGAUCAUGGUUUUAUAAUUUGAUAAAAUCAAUAAAGAAAAACUAAGACAUUGACUACAGGUAGUGCUGGAAAAUAAAAUCAUGGGCAAAGCACUUUGAUUUUGAAACAUUAUUAUUAUUUAAGUAUAUUUGUAAUACUGACCUCUUACGGAAGCAAGCCUCCUUAUACAUAAACUAUGUUUCUCUUAUAAAAUGACUGUAUGUAUUAUUCUUGGUUAGUGUUAUAUUGAAAUAUGAAAUAUGUAUAUUUUUGACAAAUUACUUAUUGCGCUUAAAGUUAUUAAGUUGUUCCCCAACUCUAAAGUUAAGAGAGAAUAUUUAAUUACCAUGCUCAAUUCAGUCGUUUGUCCUUUCCAGUCUUUUCAAUCUUACCCAGCUUUAAGAGGAACUCCCUUUUUUUUUGGUAAGUUUUCAGAUUUUGUAUAUUAAAACAAGAUUAUUUAAAUUUUUAAAUUUGUGAUUAUGAUAACAUAGUAAUUAUGGUUAUAUAGGUCAUAUACAAGGUGUUGAUUUUUUACUUGCAUGAUUUUCAUGAAACUUAAGGCGAGGGUUUUUUUAAUUUGUUGGUUUAUGGAUCCGCCAACCCUAUUUUUCGAUUUUCAGAAAAAAAAUUUAAAUUGACAUUUCACGCUUUUUUAUUCCCACUGACUCUAACAAAUACAAAUAUAAAUAAAAAUAUCAACUUAGCAGCAUUUUCAUGAAAUUAAAUGCAUUAUUUUAGCAUGUUAAGCAUUUACAGAAAUAAUUACUCAUUGUGUUCAAAAAAAUAAAAAUUUAAAAAUAAUCUGUAUUUUGUGUUUCUAAAAAUAGACAAUCAUAACUGACCUUGAAAUGUUGUUUGUGCAAAUAAUUUUGUGGAACGAAACCUAUGAAUAAAACCCAUUACAAAAAGCCUGUUAUCAUAAUUUCGUAGAUUUUUCAUCUCAUAGAUGAAAUGAACCCAUCUAAACGAGAAAGACAUCAAGGUCAAAAUAAGAGAUAUCCACAAAAAAUUUGGACUUUUCUUGUUUCAUAGAUAGAAAAAAAAAUCGUCCAUUUGGAUAUAUGAAACGGGAUUGCCUGACAAAGCAUGAAACCGAUAUCUUCAUCUUUCUGGUGGACGAGUCUACCUGCUUUGGCACGGAUGAUAAAGUGAUUUGUGCGACGUGUUUGCAAUUUUUAUUUCACAUUUUUUCGUGAUUUAAGCUCAUUAAUCACUAUGUUUUCUGAAAGUUGAUAAAAAGCAAUGUGUAGCUGAUUUUUCUUGUUCAUGCAAUGACCAUUUAUUUUAUACCCCCUUUUUUCAAAAUUAUAUAUCGAAUGACAUUCAAAUUAUAUAUGUUUAAAACAGCUGAGCAAUAAUAUUUGGAGCUAAAAUUUAAGAAAUGAUGACAAAAUACCAUACCAAAAAUAUAAUUGUAAGCUGAAAUAUAUAUCUUAUUUAUACAUAUCUUGUUAGAUAAUUUUUUUCUUUUUUUUUUCAAAGGGCCGACCCAAAUUUUUCAUCUGAAAAUCCGUAAACCAACAAAUUAAAAAACCAUGGCCUAAGACAGCUUCUCCAUUUCACAUAAAUUUAAUGCACCGUUUAUAUGUGAUAUUCACAUUAAUAAUCAGUAGAAAGAGCUAACAAAAUAAUUAUACCCCCAACAAACAAAAAUUAUAUAGUUAUCAGCUUGUUUGUCCAUUUAUCCAACUGUCUUCAAGUCAUUUGUCAAAUUUAAAGCAAACUUUGUAACAGAAAGGAUAUUUUUCUCAAUUUAGUACUUGCAAAUCAUGCCCCUUGAACUUACCAUUCUAUAUGUACUUUGUGCUUUAUCAGAUUUUGAUGAAACUGUGUACAUUGAAUCUGAGACUACUGGUAGUCUCAGAUUGAAGAUACUAAUUCGCCAUUCUGAUCCAUUGACAAAGCCACCUAAGUACUUGCACUUUAUGGACCAAAAUCCUACACAUUUCAUCAUGUCACGAAACUUUGUACAUAGAUCUUAAGGGCAUACAUAACAGUUUUGAUCCCACGAUGAUUUUUUUACGAAAAUUUGCAUACAAGCUAUUUUUCACCUAGUCAGUGCAAUUAUGUAAUAAAAAAUAUACCUUCAUGUGCUACUUUAAGAGAUAAAUGGGGUCGAAAUUUUAGACAUUUACUCAAAAUUUCGUUUUUUGGAACAUUUCUAUCCUUUGGAUAGACAUACCUAACUUUUUUGUUUCAAAAGAUAAACACAAUAGGAUUUUUGUAAAAAUAUUUGGAAAAUCUCUUUUACAUAAGUAUGCUCUAAUUUUUUAUAACAAUUCUUUGGAAAUAAUUAAUUUUUAUCAAACUUUCAGGAUUUUAGGAAAAAAAACGGAAUUUUUUGCUGUAUACUUAUCUAAUUUUAAAAAAUCUCAUCGGUGACUUUUUCAUAAAAAUUGGUACAAAUAAUCUUCAUACGUAAUCAAUCCUAAUGUCAUUUUAAGACAGAGGGGUCCAUGAACUCGUUUUCAAGUUAUAUCAGUCUGAAUGAUAAAAAUAAGUCGAAAAAUGCAUGUUUUCCUGAUCUGUCGCAGUUUGACGUCGCAAAAAAAAUAACAUUUUAUGUUGGCAACGUGAUUACCUCCCCUGUAACUGUAUCGUAUGCCCUUAAUAUGAAGAUGUGAAUAUUUGUAGUGCAUCAAAAUACAGGAGCCAUUUCCUUUUUUAUACUAAGAGGGGAAGCUUGGGUAUUUGUCCUGCUCUGCAGACGGUUUAAGCUUAAUAUUUUAUAAUAUUUUAUUUUCCAAUAGGGUAUUAAUCAUAUAAGUAGGGCAUCAGAUUUACUUGCCUUACCAUUUGUUUUGUUGGUAUACAUAUGGUACAUGACUCAUCUCUAACUCUUUGACAGUUAUCGUCUCCUCUAUGACAUAGGGAUUACUAUCCGGCUGCAGCGUAAACUAUUUGUAUAUUUCAGAAGGUAGAAGACCUGGAUGCUUCAUACCUUGUAUGCAGAUACUUUAUGUUAGGAAGUUUACGUCUGUCAUAUGUCCAUUGCCCUUGACCUCAUUUUCAUGGUUAGUCACUUCUUGUAAACAAAAAUAUUUUUUUGUUAUGUGAAUUUCUCACUUAUUAUGAGUAAUAGGAUAACUAUAUUUGCUAUAUGGGUUCCUUGCAAGGUCUACAUGUCUGUCAGACAGGGUUCUUCUGACCUCAACCUCAUUUCAUGGAUCAAUGAUCAAAGUUAAAGUUAGGUUAUUAUGUCCAUUUCUCAGAUAUUAUAAGCAGUAGGUCAACUAUAUGCAGUGUAAGGAAUGAUUGUAAGGGGUACAUGUUAGUCUGGCAGGUUUCAUCUGAUCUUGACCUCAGUAGGUCAACUAUAUGCAGUGUAAGGAAUGAUUGUAAGGGGUACAUGUUAGUCUGGCAGGUUUCAUCUGAUCUUGACCUCAUUUUCAUGGUUCAUUGGUCAAUGUUAAGUUUUUAUACGACCGCAAACAAAUUUUGCGAUCAUAUAUUGGUAUGACGUUGGCGUCGUCGUCGUCCGAAGACACAUUGGUUUUCGCAACAUAACUUUAGUUUAAGUAAAUUGGAUCUCUAUGAAAUUUUACCAUAAGGUUCAAUACAACAAAAGGAAGGUUGGGAUUGAUUUUGGGGGUUAUGGUAUCAACAGUUAAGGAAAAAGGGGCCAAAAAUAAGCAUUUUUGUAACUUCAAGACAUAACUUGUGUGUAAGUGUAUGGAUCUCUCUGACAUUGUACCACAAGGUUCCAUAUCAUAAAAGGAAUGCUUGGAUUGAUUUUGGGGGUAAUAGUCACCAAAUUUUAGGAAUUAGGGGCCAAAAAGGGGCAAAAAACAAGCAUUUUUCUAGUUUCAUGACAAUAACUUGUGUGUUAGUGUAUGGAUCUUUAUGAAAUUGUACUACAAGGUACCAUAUCACAAAGGGAAGGCUGGGAUUGAUUUUGGGGGUAAUUCCCUCAAAAUUUUAGUAAUUAGGGGCCAUAAAAGGGCAAAAAAACAAGCAUUUUUCUAGUUCCAGGACAAUUACUAAGUAAGUGUAUGGAUCUUUAUGAAAUUGUUCUGCAAGGUUCCAUAUCACAAAGGGAAAGCUGGGUUUGAGUUUGGGAAUAACUUCCAGACAUAACUUGUGUGUAAGUGUAUGGAUCUCUCUGACAUUAUACCACAAGUUUCCAUAUCACAAAGGGAAUGCUGGGAUUGAUUUUGGGGGUAAUUGCCUCAAAAUUUUAGGAAUUAGGGGCCAAAAAAAGGGGCAAAAAACAAGCAUUUUUCUAGUUUCAUGAUAUUAACUUGUGUAUAAGUGUAUGGAUCUUCCUGAAAUUGUACUACAAGGUUCCAUAUCACAAAGGGAAAGCUGGAAUUGAGUUUGGGUGUAAUUGCCCAAAACGUUUAGGAAUAAGGGGCCAAAAAUAAGCAUUCUUCUAGUUUCCAGACAAUAACUUGUGUUCAAGUGUAUGGAUCUCUCUGAAAUUGUACUGCAACCUACCAUACCACAAAGGGAAGGCUGGGAUUGAUUAUGGGGGUAAUUGCCUCAUGAUUUAGGAAUUAGGGGCCAAAAAAGGGGCAAAAAACAAGCAUUUUUCUAGUUUCAGGACAAUAACUUGUGUGUAAGUGUAUGGAUCUUUAUGAAAUUGUACUACAAGGUUCCAUAUCACAAAGUAAAAGCUGGAAUUGAGUUUGGGGGUAAUUGCUGAAACGUUUAGGAAUUGGGGGCCAAAAAGGGGCCAAAAAUAAGCAUUUUUCUAGUUUCCAGACAAUAACUUGUGUUCAAGUGUAUGGAUCUCUCUGAAAUUGUACUGCAAGGUACCAUACCACAAAGAGAAGGCUGGGAUUGAUGAUGGGGGUAAUUGCCUCAAUAUUUUAGGAAUUAGGGGCCAAAAAGGGGCAAAAAACAAGCAUUUUUCUAGUUUCAGGACAAUAACUUGUGUGUAAGUGUAUGGAUCUUUCUGAUAUUGUACUACAAGGUUCCAUAUCACAAAGGGAAAGCUGGGUUUGAGUUUGGGGGUAAUUGCCCUAAUUGUUUAGGAAUUUGGGGCCAAAAAGGGGCCAAAAAACACAUUUUUAGCUCACCUGACCUGAAAGGUCAAGUGAGCUUUUCUCAUCACUUUGCGUCCGUCGUCCGUCGUCCUGCGUCCGUCGUCCGUCGUCCGUCGUCCGUAAACUUUUACAAAAAUCUUCUCCUCUGAAACUACUGGGCCAAAUUUAACCAAACUUGGCCACAAUCAUCAUUGGGGUAUCUAGUUUUAAAAAUGUGUGGCGUGACCCAGUCAACCAACCAAGAUGGCCGCCACGGCUAAAAAUAGAACAUAGGGGUAAAAUGCAGUUUUUAGCUUAUAACUCAAAAACCAAAGCAUUAAGAGCAAAUCUGACAUGUGGUAAAAUUGUUCAUCAGGUCAAGAUCUAUCUGCCCUGAAAUUUUCAGAUGAAUCGGACAACCCGUUAUUGGGUUGCUGCCCCUGAAUUGGUAAUUUUAAGGAAAUUUUGCUGUUUUUGGUUAUUAUCUUGAAUAUUAUUAUAGAUAGAGAUAAACUGUAAACAGCAAUAAUGUUCAGCAAAGUAAGAUUUACAAAUAAGUCAAUAUAACCGAAAUGGUCAGUUGACCCCUUUAGGAGUAAUUGCCCUUUAUAGUCAAUUUUUAACCAUUUUUCGUAAAUCUUAGUAAUCUUUUACAAAAAUCUUCUCCUCUGAAACAACUGGGCCAAAUUAAACCAAACUUGGCCACAAUCAUCAUUGGGGUAUCUAGUUUAAAAAAUGUGUGGCGUGACCCGGCCAACCAACCAAGAUGGCCGCCACAGCUAAAAAUAAAACAUAGGGGUAAAAUGCCGUUUUUGGCUUAUAACUCAAAAACCAAAGCAUUUAGAGCAAAUCUGACAUGAAGUAAAAUUGUUUAUCAGGUCAAGAUCUAUCUGCCCUGAAAUUUUCAGAUGAAUCGAACAACCUGUUGUUGGGUUGCUGCCCCUGAAUUGGUAAUUUUAAGGAAAUUUUGCUGUUUUUGGUUAUUAUCUUGAAUAUUAUUAUAGAUAGAGAUAAACUGUAAACAUCAAUAAUGUUCAGCAAAGUAAGAUUAACAAAUAAGUCAACAUGACUGAAAUGGUCAGUUGACUCCUUUAGGAGUUAUUGCCCUUUAUAGUCAAUUUUUAACAAUUUUUCGUAAAUCUUAGUAAUCUUUUACAAAAAUCUUCUCCUCUGAAACUCCGUGGCCAAAUUAAACCAAACUUGGCCACAAUCAUCAUUUGGUUAUCUAGUUUUAAAAAUGUGUGGCGUGACCUGGUCAACCAACCAAGAUGGCCGCCACGGCUAAAAAUAGAACAUAGGGGUAAAAUUCAGUUUUUGGCUUUUAACUCAAAAACCAAAGCAUUUAAAGCAAAUCUGACAUGAAAUAAAAUUGUUUAUCAGGUCAAGAUCUAUCUGCCCUGAAAUUUUCAGAUGAAUCGGACAACCCGUUAUUGGGUUGCUGUCCCUGAAUUGGUAAUUUUAAGGAAAUUUUGCUGUUUUUGGUUAUUAUCUUGAAUAUUAUUAUAGAUAGAGAUAAACUGUAAACAGCAAUAAUGUUCAGCAAAGUAAGAUUUACAAAUAAGUCAAUAUAACCGAAAUGGUCAGUUGACCCCUUUAGGAGUAAUUGCCCUUUAUAGUCAAUUUUUAACCAUUUUUCGUAAAUCUUAGUAAUCUUUUACAAAAAUCUUCUCCUCUGAAACAACUGGGCCAAAUUAAACCAAACUUGGCCACAAUCAUCAUUUGGUUAUCUAGUUUUGAAAAUGUGUGGCGUGACCUGGUCAACCAACCAAGAUGGCCGCCACGGCUAAAAAUAGAACAUAGGGGUAAAAUUCAGUUUUUGGCUUUUAACUCAAAAACCAAAGCAUUUAAAGCAAAUCUGACAUGAAGUAAAAUUGUUUAUCAGGUCAAGAUCUAUCUGCCCUGAAAUUUUCAGAUGAAUCGGACAACCCGUUGUUGGGUUGCUGCCCCUGAAUUGGUAAUUUUAAGGUGAUUUUGCUGUUUUUGGUUAUUAUCUUGAAUAUUAUUAUAGAUAGAGAUAAACUGUAAACAGCAAUAAUGUUCAGCAAAGUAAGAUUUACAAAUAAGUCAAUAUAACCGAAAUGGUCAGUUGACCCCUUUAGGAGUAAUUGCCCUUUAUAGUCAAUUUUUAACCAUUUUUCGUAAAUCUUAGUAAUCUUUUACAAAAAUCUUCUCCUCUGAAACAACUGGGCCAAAUUAAACCAAACUUGGCCACAAUCAUCAUUUGGUUAUCUAGUUUUGAAAAUGUGUGGCGUGACCUGGUCAACCAACCAAGAUGGCCGCCACGGCUAAAAAUAGAACAUAGGGGUAAAAUUCAGUUUUUGGCUUUUAACUCAAAAACCAAAGCAUUUAAAGCAAAUCUGACAUGAAGUAAAAUUGUUUAUCAGGUCAAGAUCUAUCUGCCCUGAAAUUUUCAGAUGAAUCGGACAACCCGUUGUUGGGUUGCUGCCCCUGAAUUGGUAAUUUUAAGGUGAUUUUGCUGUUUUUGGUUAUUAUCUUGAAUAUUAUUAUAGAUAGAGAUAAACUGUAAAAAACAACAAAUGUCGGCAAAGUAAGAUCUACAAAUAAGUCAACCUGACCGAAAUUGUCAGUUGACCCCUUUAGGAGUUAUUGCCCUUUAUAGUCAAUUUUUAACCAUUUUUUCGUAAAUCUUAGUAAUCUUUUACAAAAAUCUUCUCCUCUGAAACAACUGGGCCAAAUUAAACCAAACUUGGCCACAAUCAUCAUUGGGGUAUCGAGUUUAAAAAAUGUGUGGCGUGACCCGGCCAACCAACCAAGAUGGCCGCCACAGCUAAAAAUAAAACAUAGGGGUAAAAUGCCGUUUUUGGCUUAUAACUCAAAAACCAAAGCAUUUAGAGCAAAUCUGACAUGAAGUAAAAUUGUUUAUCAGGUCAAGAUCUAUCUGCCCUGAAAUUUUCAGAUGAAUCGAACAACCUGUUGUUGGGUUGCUGCCCCUGAAUUGGUAAUUUUAAGGAAAUUUUGCUGUUUUUGGUUAUUAUCUUGAAUAUUAUUAUAGAUAGAGAUAAACUGUAAACAUCAAUAAUGUUCAGCAAAGUAAGAUUAACAAAUAAGUCAACAUGACUGAAAUGGUCAGUUGACUCCUUUAGGAGUUAUUGCCCUUUAUAGUCAAUUUUUAACAAUUUUUCGUAAAUCUUAGUAAUCUUUUACAAAAAUCUUCUCCUCUGAAACUCCGUGGCCAAAUUAAACCAAACUUGGCCACAAUCAUCAUUUGGUUAUCUAGUUUUAAAAAUGUGUGGCGUGACCUGGUCAACCAACCAAGAUGGCCGCCACGGCUAAAAAUAGAACAUAGGGGUAAAAUUCAGUUUUUGGCUUUUAACUCAAAAACCAAAGCAUUUAAAGCAAAUCUGACAUGAAAUAAAAUUGUUUAUCAGGUCAAGAUCUAUCUGCCCUGAAAUUUUCAGAUGAAUCGGACAACCCGUUAUUGGGUUGCUGUCCCUGAAUUGGUAAUUUUAAGGAAAUUUUGCUGUUUUUGGUUAUUAUCUUGAAUAUUAUUAUAGAUAGAGAUAAACUGUAAACAGCAAUAAUGUUCAGCAAAGUAAGAUUUACAAAUAAGUCAAUAUAACCGAAAUGGUCAGUUGACCCCUUUAGGAGUAAUUGCCCUUUAUAGUCAAUUUUUAACCAUUUUUCGUAAAUCUUAGUAAUCUUUUACAAAAAUCUUCUCCUCUGAAACAACUGGGCCAAAUUAAACCAAACUUGGCCACAAUCAUCAUUUGGUUAUCUAGUUUUGAAAAUGUGUGGCGUGACCUGGUCAACCAACCAAGAUGGCCGCCACGGCUAAAAAUAGAACAUAGGGGUAAAAUUCAGUUUUUGGCUUUUAACUCAAAAACCAAAGCAUUUAAAGCAAAUCUGACAUGAAGUUAAAUUGUUUAUCAGGUCAAGAUCUAUCUGCCCUGAAAUUUUCAGAUGAAUCGGACAACCCGUUGUUGGGUUGCUGCCCCUGAAUUGGUAAUUUUAAGGUGAUUUUGCUGUUUUUGGUUAUUAUCUUGAAUAUUAUUAUAGAUAGAGAUAAACUGUAAAAAACAACAAAUGUCGGCAAAGUAAGAUCUACAAAUAAGUCAACCUGACCGAAAUUGUCAGUUGACCCCUUUAGGAGUUAUUGCCCUUUAUAGUCAAUUUUUAACCAUUUUUUCGUAAAUCUUAGUAAUCUUUUACAAAAAUUUUCUCCUCUGAAACUACUGGGCCAAGUUAAUUAUAGAUAGAGAUAAUUGUGAGCAGGAAAAAUGUUCAGUAAAUUAAGAUGUACAAACACAUCACCAUCACCAAAACACAAUUUUGUCAUGAAUCCAUCUGCGUCCUUUGUUUAAUAUUCACAUAGACCAAGGUGAGCGACACAGGCUCUUUAGAGCCUCUAGUUAGCUCACCUGGCCCGAAGGGCCAAGUGAGCUUUUCUCAUCACUUAGCGUCUGUCGUCCGUCGUCCGGCGUCGUCCGUCGUCGGCGUUAACUUUUUACAUUUUGAACUUCUUCUAGAGAACCACUGAAUGGAAUGAAACCAAACAUGGCAUGAAUGUUCCUUAUGAGGUGCUGACCAAGUGUUGUUACUUUGUAGCCGAUCCAUCAUCCAAGAUGGCCGCCAGCGGGGGACUUAGUUUAACAUAGGACCCUAUGGGAAAUGCAUACAAAUGACUUCUUUUAGAGAACCACUGAAUGGAAUAAAACCAAACAUGGCAUGAAUGUUCCUUAUAAGGUGCUCACCAAGUGUUGUUACUUUGUAGCCGAUCCAUCAUCCAAGAUGGCCGCCAGCGGGGGACUUAGUUUAACAUAGGACCCUAUGGGAAAUGCAUACAAAUGACUUCUUUUAGAGAACCACUGAUUGGAAUAAAACCAAACAUGGCAUGAAUGUUCCUUAUGAGGUGUUGACCAUGUGUUGUUACUUUGUAGCCGAUCCAUCAUCCAAGAUGGCCGCCAUCGGGGAACUUAGUUUAACAUAGGACCCUAUGGGAAAUACAUACAAAUGUCUUCUUUUAGAGAACCACUGAAUGGAAUGAAACCAAACAUGGCAUGAAUGUUCCUUAUGAGGUGCUGACCAAGUGUUGUUACUUUGUAGCCGAUCCAUCAUCCAAGAUGGCCGCCAGCGGGGGACUUAGUUUAACAUAGGACCCUAUGGGAAAUACAUAAAAAUGUCUUCUUUUAGAGAACCACUGAAUGGAAUGGAACCAAACAUGGCAUGAAUGUUCCGUAUGAGAUGCUGACCAAGUGUUGUUACUUUGCAGUCGGUCCAUCAUCCAAGAUGGCCGCCAGCGGGGGACUUAGUUUAACAUAGGACCCUAUGGGAAAUACAUACAAAUGUCUUCUUUUAGAGAACCACUGAAUGGAAUGAAACCAAACAUGGCAUGAAUGUUCCUUAUGAGGUUCUGACCAAGUGUUGUUACUUUGUAGCAGAUCCAUCAUCCAAGAUGGCCGCCAGCGGGGGACUUAGUUGAACAUAGGACCCUAUGGGAAAUACAUACAAAUGUCUUCUUUUAGAGAACCAAUAAAUGGAAUGGAACCAAACAUGGCAUGAAUGUUCCUUAUGAGAUGUUGACCAAGUGUUGUUACUUUGCAGCCGAUCCAUCAUCCAAGAUGGCCGACAGAGGGGGACUUAGUUUAACAUAGGACCCUAUGGGAAAUACAUACAAUUGUCUUCUUUUAGAGAACCACUGAAUGGAAUUGAACCAAACAUGGCAUGAAUGUUCCUUAUGAGUUGCUGACCAAGUGUUGUUACUUUGCAGUCGAUCCAUCAUCCAAGAUGGCCGCUAGGGGGGGGGGCUUAGUUUAACAUAGGACCCUAUGGGAAAUACAUACAAAUGUCUUCUUUUAGAGUACCACUGAAUGGAAUGAAACCAAACAUGGCAUGAAUGUUCCUUAUGAAGUGCUGACCAAGUGUUGUUACUUUGUUGCCGAUUUACUGUUCAAGAUGGCCACCAGGAUAUUUUAUUAAAUAACGGGACCAAUAUUAAUCAAAAUUUGGCCUCAAUCAUUAUUUGGGUAUCUGUUAUGAUUUUUAUCUAUCUUUACAUGAUUUCUAAAACCAAAGUAGAGUCAGGUGAGCGACACAGGCUCUUGAGAGCCUCUAGUUCUAGUUUCCAGACAAUAACUUGUGUUCAAGUGUAUGGAUCUCUCUGAAAUUGUACUGCAAGGUACCAUACCACAAAGGGAAGGCUGGGAUUGAGUUUGGAGGUGAUGAAUCAUAAGGGGGUUCAAAAAAUUUGGGGGGGGGGAUUUUUUUUUUUUUCAUUUUUUUUCUUUUUUUCCUUUUUUUUCUUUUUUUCCUUUUUUUUUUCUUUUAAAAUUUUCUAUUUUAAGUUGGUUAUUUCUGAUUUAUAUUUAAAAGCAAAUAAUAAUGAUAUGGUAGGAGAUACACACCAAACAGGAUGUGUAAAUUAUUAUAUAAUAAGUAUUGUGCAAUAGCAAGAAAUUUUCAAUUGCACAGUAUUGCACAAUAGCAAGAAAUCUUCAAUUGCACGGUAUUGCGCAAUAGCAAGAAAUCUUCAAUUGCACAGUAUUGUGCAAUAGCAAGAAAUUGUCAAUUGUACAGUAUUGCGCAAUAGCAAGAAAUAUUUAAUUGCACAGUAUUGUGCAAAAGAAGAUACUUCGUAUAAAUUGCUUAUUUCUUGACCAAUUUCAAUGGGGUUUUAUUCUUGAAUUCUUGGGGUUCUUUAAUAUGCUGAAUCUAACCGUGUAUUUAGUUUUUGGAUUUUGGGCCCCGUUUUUAAAUUGGUCCACAUUGAGGUCCAAAGGGUCCAAAAUUAAACUUUGUUUGAUUUUUAUCAAAAAUUGAAUUAUUGGGGUUCUUUGAUAUGCCGAAUCUAACCGUGUAUUUAGGUUUUUAAUUUUUGGUUUUGUUUUCAAAUUGGUCUACAUAAAGGUCCAAAGGGUCCAAAAUUAAACUUAGUUUGAUUUUAACAAAAAAUGAAUUCUAAGGGUUCUUUGAUAUGCUGAAUCUAAACAUGUAUUUAGAUUUUUGAUUAUGGGCCCAGUUUUCAAGUUGGUCAAAAUCGGGGUCCAAAAUUAAACUUUGUUUGAUUUCAACAAAAAUUGAAUAUAUGGGGUUCUUUGAUAUGCUGAAUCUAACCAUGUAUUUAGAUUUUUGAUUUUUGGGCCCCGUUAUCAACUUUGUCCACAUUGAGGUCAAAAGGGUCCAAAAUUAAACUUUGUUUGAUUUCAUCAAAAUUUGAAUUCUUGGGGUUCUUUGAUAUGCUGAAUCUAACCAUGUUUUUAGAUUUUGGAUAUUGGACCAUAAUAGGUGAAUGUACAAUUUAAAAUUUUUAAGUUCUUAGACCACAUUCAUUCUGUGUCAGAAACCUAUGCUGUGUCAAAUAUUUAAUCACAAUCCAAAUGCAAAGCUGUAUCAAGCUUGAAUGUUGUGUCCAUACUUGCCCCAACUGUUCAGGGUUCGACCUCUGCGGUCGUAUCAAGCUGCGCCCUGCGGAGCAUUUUAUUAAAAUACAAAAUGACAUUUUGGAUUUUUUUCCUUUUCUUUGGUAAAUUGUUUGAAGAAUUUAGUGGUAGGUUUGUUUGUCAUUCUUGAAGAUAUUGAUUUGAUAAUUAGUAUAUAGUUUUAUCAUGACAAGUUACAGAUCAAGUUGGAAUUUUGUUCCAGAUGAUAAUUUUGUGCAGAGUUAUGGUCUUUGGACAUAGAAAAUUCACUUAAAUAAUCAGUUUUCAACAGUUUUUUUUGUCAUGCUUGAAGAUUUUGACCUGAUUUUUUUAUGUAGUUUACACAAUGACAAGUUAUAGAUCAAGUUAGAAUUUCGUUCCAUUACAAUGAAUUUGUAACCGGUAGGGGACUAUGUAUUUCCAUGCAAUACUCACAGAAUGCUUGUUAUAUAUAUAAAGUCUGAUUACACUAAUAUUUUUAAAUAGUUUUCUCCUGUUAUCAAAUUACCGGUAUGACAAAGAAUAUGGUAAAUAUCUUAUCUCAGAAUUAUAAUUGGAGUGACAUAUUUAUUUGAAAAUUUUCUGUUUCCUAAGUGCUGAUGAUUAUAAGCUAUAUUUUUUGACAUUUUGAAGAUCAUUACAGAUAAGUUUUAUAGAUUUUUAAAAGACAUUGUAUUAAUUAUAAAUAAAAUUUUGGAUUUUUA
Mytilus californianus (California mussel) is the source of this 14017-nucleotide RNA transcript. It is a transcript of the gene named nuclear transcription factor Y subunit beta-like, with no coding region annotated. The transcript is spliced from 10 exons. NCBI's taxonomy places the organism in Eukaryota, Metazoa, Mollusca, Bivalvia, Mytilida, Mytilidae. The record is from RefSeq and is a predicted model, not a curated record.